RNAcentral lists this ribosomal RNA (301 nucleotides) under uncultured bacterium. Its description in RNAcentral is "partial 16S ribosomal RNA". It matches the Rfam family "Bacterial small subunit ribosomal RNA", at positions 509 to 807 of the family's 1533-position model. The record is from RNAcentral.
CAGCAGCCGCGGGAACACGGAGGGGGCUAGCGUUAAUCGGAAUUACUGGGCGUAAAGCGUGCGUAGGCGGUUCGUUAAGUCUGUUGUGAAAGCCCCGGGCUCAACCUGGGAAUGGCAAUGGAUACUGGCGAGCUAGAGUGAGUCAGAGGAUGGUGGAAUUCCCGGUGUAGCGGCGAAAUGCGUAGAGAUCGGGAGGAACAUCAGUGGCGAAGGCGGCCAUCUGGGACAACACUGACGCUGAGGUGCGAAAGCGUGGGGAGCAAACAGGAUUAGAUACCCCCGUAGUCCCUGUCUCUUAUAC